Molecule: long non-coding RNA, 672 nt
Filed under: Linum usitatissimum (flax)
Lineage: Eukaryota; Viridiplantae; Streptophyta; Magnoliopsida; Malpighiales; Linaceae
Description: long non-coding RNA (LUSI_LNC005139)
Source: RNAcentral
UUUCAGCUUCUGGACAGUACACUGCUGCUACAAAAUAUGAGUUGGUUAUCGCUGCUAGUUUCACCUUCAAAACUUAAACAACCUACCCGUCCAUCUCGCUAAUUUGGGGACGACCUGGACUGCCGAGGUACACCCUAAACUUCAUUUUUUACUCUAGAAGCUGCUUCACCCAAAUCUAACUACCAUGGAGCCUUUCCGCAAGAAGGAUAUGACUUCCCCCCGGCGACUGCCCCGUUAGGCAGGGACCUCACCUUGCCCCGAUUUGGGUCCUCGCUUGGUGGCGGCUAUGGAGAAGUAGAGAUUCGAAGGUGUUUGACCGUACACAAGGGCUGUCGGACACUCUACAUGCAAUUAUGUCGCCAAGUAACAGAGCUGCAACACCUACUUCCUGACUCUCUGCCCACUGCCGUCAUUGUAGGCCACACUUCCAUCUUCCAACCAGUGUGGAAGCCGCCUGUAAGCCCUCGAUUCAUGAUCAACGUUAAUGGUGCCUUCUAGCCACACAGGUGCGUCGACGAGAUGGGUUUUGCAAGAUUCCUGGGGGGUUGUACUACAUGCGGCAGGAACGCCAUAUCAUGGCCUUACCAAUCCCUUCAUUUUCUGAGUUAGUGGCUGUCCGAGACACCUGUUUAUGGUGUCAACGGAAUGGGUUUUUGCAAGUGGAUAUUGAAG